UCCUCGUCUCUCAACUAUCACUUCUUCUUCUCUUUAAUUUUCUCUUCUUAAUGAUUUAAAACCUCAGCUUUCCUCUUCAUCUCAUCUGUUUUCCUCAGUGUUGAGCCAGACAUGCCCAGUUUUUUCCCUCCUUAAACUCUCUUUGUGAUACCUGUCUUGACAUGGAUCUCUAGUGUGUAUUUCUCUUUCAGCCUUCUCACUACUGGUCCAGGCAAACUAUGCAAUGAUGAAAUAAGAAGCCGAAGAAAGAUCUCAGAGUUGAUUUGAAGAGUCUGAGAUGACUCAAUUUCCUGUUAUAUUCUAAAGGGAAGCUGACCUAAAAUUUAAGACCUUGUUUACAAAGUACAUGAUUUAUUUAUUUAUGUUUUUCUGAACAGAAGAAGAUGAAGAUAAAAGGUCAACAGACUGAACACUGAACGGUUUCAACGUACAAACUUAAAGGAAUACUUUGAGGAUAUAGCAACUCAGAGGUAUGAACCAUCAAUUCAGAAGUUCAGUUUCUGGUCCCCUGCAGUUUUGUGUCAGCCAAAACUGGUGUUCUUCCCCAAGUGACAGGAAUUGAAAAAAAAACCUUGGUAGGGUUUUUUGAACUACUCUACAUCCAAAGAGCUUGGACAGGACUGGAUGAGGUAAGAGACUUUACUAAGCUCUUGAUAUUAUAUCCUGCUUUGGCUCUGUCUGGAGCUGGCUGUCAUAUAGUAGUUAUUUCAGGAACCCAGUUUCUUCAUGCCUCUUCUACAUUAUUAUUACAUGACGACUCAAGCUGUGGAUUGCUCCAGACUCCAUGGACAGAACACAAGACUGCAGGCAUUUGCCUGCUUUACCUAGAGGUUGUGGAUAUAGUUUCAUGGUCACGUUAACCCAUCUAAAGCUUUAUGUCAGACACCCAGGCUGCUCCCUACCCUCCUAUAUAUGUUUCUUCAGAUCAUUUUGCUGUCUAAACAUCAUUACUACCAUGUCAGAAGCCUGUCCUUAAGUGGAAUUAAGAUGCUGGAACCGUACCUGGUGAGUACCAUUAUUCAUAUAUCUCUUUUCUUUUGGUGCCCUGUUGGAACAAUCACUCAUUUCUCUUAUCCCCAAGCCAAGAACACAUGCAGUCUCCAGAACAGGGUUUCUCUCCUGCUCUGAAUCCUAGUCUAGAUGAGAUGGCAACUGCUCAAAGCUUUCAGAGAUCAUCCAGAGAAUGUCCCACAGACUGUUCUCUCUGUGGUUUUGCUUACAUUCAAUAUCCUUUCAGUUUAUCUCCCUGACUUUUAGUGCCCAUGUUGAGUCUUUGUAUUUGUUUACUGUCUAUCUUGUUCUUCCUAAUAACUGUACUUAAUAACAGGAGAGAAGACUCACAAAGUGAACCACCCUCACAUUCCACAGAAGAGGAUGCCUGCAUAUAAUUGCAGAAGCAAUUCUAGUUCAGACCUGCUGAGAGAGCGGUUUUAUGUUACUGCUCACAAAACCUCAUGUACCUCAUUCUUAUUUGAGUACUGCUAAUUCAGACUGUGGUCUAGACCUCUAAUUGAAAAAAAAAAAAAAAUCACUAUUUUUUUUUUCUCUUUCAUUUCUAGUCAGGAAACUGCUUUUUGCUGUCCCUGGAAAAUCCCCAACAUAACGCUUUCUUUUUUACCAGUACUGUGGUUUGGGGUCAGCAUUCAUUCCUGUUGUUCAGACAUAACCUUCAAGGUCACUGGCCUCUGCCUGUUUUUUAUUUUAUUUUAUUUUAUUUUAUUUUAUUUUAUUUUAUUUUAUUUUAUUUUAUUUUAUUUUAUUUUAUUUUAUUUUAUUUUUUAUUUUUAAACAGAAUGAACUCUUAAGUUGCUUUACGUACAUGUGUGAGGUUUAUUUUACUUACACAAUUUAAACAGUGGGUAAUCUCUUAAUUCUUGAAGAUAGUACAUUCAAGUGAAGUUUGUUGUUUUUUUUUUUAUCUGCUAAAUGCUUUGUUAUUCUGGCACAUUUUAAUUAACUAUUAAAUACAAAACAAGUACAGCUUUCCAGCAUCUUUUUCUGCAUGAACAAAUGCUUGCACCUUCCUGUAUGUGGGCUGAGAAAACUCUUAACUCUUCUUGGGCAAACAGUAACAACCAAGGCUCUUUUAUUCAUACCGAUUAUGUAUGUUGCAUGCUAUGGAUGCAUGAAAUGGCAAUGAAGAAGACAGAAACAAUACAAAUCGGAGACUAUAAGGUAAAAUUUAAGCAUUUUAUUUCUACAAAUAGCAAAAAAUAUAAUCUAUUUCUGAGUAACAUAAACUGUUGACAUUCGGACUGUAACAAUGCUGUUUAAAAUAAGAAAAAAUGAUUGUGUCUAAUUAUGUAAGUUUGAAAUAUUAACAACAUACACUGAAAAGUUAUUUUGUGUCAGGAGCAGAUAGUCAUCUUUUUAAAGUUCAUAAAGCUUUUCUUACAGCAAAGUUGAUAGAAAAGCAAAUUCAUCAUGCUUGUCUCAAGAAUAUUAGGUAAGCACAUGAUUUUAAACAUAUGACUUUUUCUAAGAACAUGCAUUUUGAAAGAGAUUGAACAGAAUGGUUUAUAUCAAUUUUGAACACAGCACUUCAGCAGCCUUCUAAAGAUGCUUUGAGUGAUGCUUUAUAAAGAAGAAGUUUUUCUGAACAUUCUUCUGUAACUGAAGAAUGUUCUUCAGUUACAAACAAUUACUAGGAAAAAUGUGAUCGUAAUAUUGGAAAUGCGCUUGUAAUCACAAAAUUGAUUUUUUUUUUCACUCACUUUUAUAGAUGAGUGCAACAGAAUUAAGAAUUUCCAAUUAAAGCCACAUUUCUGAUUUCAGACUCAAGAAGAAGCAAAGAAAGGGCACAUUAACUUUCUAAGAAAACAUUUCUUAGCUAUUACUUCAUUUUUUGAAACUCUUUCUAAGUAACCUUUGGAAGAGGUGCUUAGGAGGAUGCCUAAAAGCAGCUUGACCCAGCAGAACCACUCCUCCAAUGAGACACUGCUGGAUGCCUCAGUCCACUCUGUUCUCAUAAUCCUGUACAGCAUUGACCUGGCUGGCGGCACCCUCGGGGUCAUCGUGAUGUCCCACCAGUUGUUUCGAAGGAAGUCACAAUCUGUGAUGACCAUUAUCAUCAUCAACCUCCUGGUGCUGCACACAUUCCUGCUAGUCAGCAUCCCCUUUCGCCUCAGCUAUUACAUUUUACAGGAAUGGAAAUUUGGGACAUUCACCUGCAGGCUAGUGAGUGCCAUUAUCUACUUCCACAUGUACACCACCUUCUCGUUUUACAUUGCUAUCAUCGUAAUACGUCUCUUCCGACUUGAGUUUAAGAAAUGCUACACUACAACGUGGGUGAUUGCUGUCUGGCUGCUGGGAGCACUGGUGAUUGCACCUGUUUUCCUCUCUUACUAUGGCACUUCUAAAACAUACACGUCCUCCCAUUGCUUUCACUUCCAGCAGGAGAUACAAGAGUUACGUAUGACGAUCAUAAACUACUGUUUGGUUGGAAUUUUGGUGGCUGUUUGUGCUGUGCUCACUGUCAUCCAGCUAUCUGUGAUCUAUAGACUGGCUGUGAAAUACUGGCCUGACAUCAACUCCCAUGUGGAAUUCAGGGCUCAGGCAAAGAGUUUCUUCUUCAUCUUGGUAAUGUUAGUGUGCUUUAUGCCUCAUCAUGUAUUCAGAGUAUAUUACAUCCAAAACUACCACCCGGAUAAAGAUCAUAAACUUCUCCCAUACAAUGAAAUUUUUUUAGCUUUAACAACAAUGUGUUGCUUGGAUAUGUUGUGCUUCAUAGCUGGAAUAGCCCACUAAACUCUGAACUACCAGGAAAUCCAGCCACUCUGUGUCAAUACUGGCUCUCGGCUGAAAUAAACUUGUGUCAGGACUUUGCUGUGCCAGGGAGACUGCUGAGUUUUCAUCAAGGCUAUAUAGGAUUGUCAUAGUCUUUGGCUUUUACAGGCUAGGAAGAUCCAUCUUUCUGAAACUACUAUUUUUUAUCUUCUCUCUUGAAGACAGACAUAUGAACAUUACUUUGGUCUUUGACCUAAAUGUCACGUCACGAAGCUUCAUUAAGAUUUUCCUCAGUCGUUCCUCUCCCUAACCAUUAGAGCACAAGUAUCCAUCCCUUCCUCUUUUUUCCACAGACUGUCCCAAUAACUACAACCCACUGUGUCUAACAAGUUUUCACUGUGAAAGUCUAACACUUUCUUCUGUCACUUGUGAUACUGAUGGGGUGAGGUAAGAAGGAAAUUCCUUUACAACCUUUUUGUACAAGUGAUUUUAGAUAACAAGGCCACGAACUAUAUUAGAAAUGUAUUCAAGGCAUGAAACAGGGCAUGAGUGAAAUGUUUUAGUGGAAUAUUCUAGCAUAAGCUUCGUUUGUUCAUCUAUACAAAGUAUACAUUAAAUUAAAUGAAAACAUUUAACAUUCUCGUAGCUUCAACUUUACUUGAUUCAUUUCAAAAGCACAAGCAGCUCCCUGAACUGAGGUAAUUACACCUUCAAAGUGAGUGAGAGCUGAACAGGUCACAAGUUUCAAAACUUUUGUCUUAUGUCACUCUCCCACCAGGUCUGGAUCGGUGGCUGUUAUCCCUUAAGUCCAUUUCAGCCAAAGAAAUACAAGUUACCAUUGUGCCCUGCCCAUAACCAGAGCUGGAAUUCAGGACUGAGGGGUCUGGUCCUUCAUGGAAGGAUCAGCUUCUCUCUAGGAGAGGGAAAUAUUUAACAGCCUUCAAAAACCCUUUGAGCAGAAAAUGUCUUUGAUGUCUGGUCACUUUCAGUUGCCUGUUGAUUUAUUAUCAGAUGCCAUAUUUUUUCCAUUUACAGAUGUAACAAAGCAAAGCUAGAAUAAACUAACCGAACUGUGUUUAAUCAGUUCAACAUAUGCUUGUGCAUGUGUAUAUAAACUUUUGCAGGAGUGUAUAUUUUUUCCAUUAGAUGGAUUAUAUUCUUUGUGAACUUGGAAAGUAGAAUGAAAUGACUGGGUCUUGAUCCCUCAGGAACCACAUCCUCUCUGGGAAUCUCCAUUUUCACUAUGUAAAAAUUAUUUUCACGCAUGCUGCUUGUUCUGCUCAGUGUAGAAGGUUUCCACCCUUCUGGCUAAGGCCUCACUGCAUCACAACAGCUUGAGGUCAGCUUUCUCCCAUUCCAAACUCCCAGGACUCACAGAAGUGUAUACUUUCUCCUUUGUAACCCCAUGAGUUACCAAAAUUUGCAUAAUUUGCAGUCUGUCAAUCUUUGCUCUAGAAGUGCUAUGAUGCCCAGAUUCAGACAGGUCAAAAGUUGAUUUGGGAGGGUUGAAAAACUACACCUAUCAAGGAAUGCUAAUGAUGCCUCAGAUUGAUGGCCUUUUUUUGAACAAAAGAGCACACACUGACUAUGCCAAUGCUGAACAAACAUUUUUGCCAUUAAUCAUUUCCAUAAAAACCUUUGUCCAAAAUUCCUAAUGGUGCCAGAAUUCUUUCUGCUGCUUUUAAAAAGUGAAAGUCCAGGGGACCAUCAGCAAUUCCUGAAGCCUUCCAAAUAUCCUGACCUUCCCCUAGUGUUACCAGGUCCACUCCUGCUCUUACAAUACAGUCUUUUCAGUCCAUGAUUUUCAAAGACGGAAGUUAGAGGUACAAUAAAAUAUAAUAAAACAGAGAUACAACGCAAAAGGCCAGAUUCUAAAAAGGUAAAUAGUUCCCAAAACAUCAGCUUUUUGAUAUUCUUCUCUGGGCAGUGUGCUGCAUAUGUACCUAAUAAGACAGCUAGGAACCCUCAAGGCAAAAAAAGCUUAAACAAAGUGUUGGCCCUUCAGAAGGAUUUGGAGGGAAACACAGCAAGAGGCAGGGCCCGCAAAUAACCUAUUUGUAUCUCUGCCACCAGAAAGAGUUUGUUUAAGUUAAACAUAUCAAAGUCUUUAGAAAAACUGGCAAAGCCCUAAGUGAGGCAAUUUACUGACUGAUUUACUGAUUACUGACUCCUGUAGCUAAAUAUUUUGUUUGAAGAAGUAACCAUUGUCACUACCUUUUCUUACUGACCAGUGCUACCAAGCUGGCGUAUCUGGUGACGAACAGAGUCAUCUGGUGUUGCUUAUGAGUCUGCUGAUAAUAAAGCAGUUCGGGAUAAUGUAGUGCAAGUAUGGGAUAAGGAAAGGGAAAUUACACAGUCUUCAGCUAUGAUAUCGUUCCACACAAUUCCUUCAAGGAGAUUUUAGGGAUAAUUGUGUAAGGUCUUAGUUCUGGUCAGGCUCUUAACUCCUAUGGAACUACGUAUUUAUCUUCAGCUCCUCAAAGACCAGGGCUGACCUGUGGUCCAUGUGCUGGUAUAAUGUUCAUUACACUAUGUAUUUAAUACAUCUACGUUACACUAUCUAUGUGUUUAAUAUUCAACUCCUCAAAUACAGUUGAGGAGUUGAAUUGCUAACACAUUCUUUUAUGCAAUGUCUGUAUUCAGCCAUAUUUCAUAAUCAAUUAAAUCCUUCCAGCAGAAUAAAUCUAAGGAAAAAUAAUUUAUGCAAUUCAGAAAUUAGCUGUGAAAGGUUUUUCCUGAGCAAGUGGGCAAAGCAGAAUUAAUUUUAUUCCAUCCAGCACACAAGUGGCUGGACCCUGCGUGUACCAACAGGCUCUUCAACCUCUCCCCACUAUCUCCUAGAGGUUUGGCUGCUAGUGUUGAAGGCUGGCUGUGACAUGGUCCAGCUGUCUAAUGUUGUGUAAGAUGCUGUUAACAUAGUGGUGUGAGAAAGAGCUGUAAAAACCACUAUGUUGGGGGCCUCCCCACCUUGGCUUUGUGGCCUAUCCAUCUUGGUCUGGUGGCCUUGCCCUCAGCUUUUGCUUGAUAUUUUUUCCUGUGCCUGUCCAAGAAACUUGCUGAAAUAAUCUUGACCCACUGACUUGACUUUCUACCUUGAUGCUGAAGCUGUGCUGUCACAUCAUAUUUGCCUGGCAAUUGCUGAUGACCAUCCUCAGACGUGCUCUACUUGCAUUGCUUAGGUUCUGUGGGCUUGCACACUGCACUCGGUCCAGCUGGGAUGGGAUUAACAUUCUUUGUAGCAGCCCAUACAGUACUAUGUUCUGGAUUUGUGGCCAAAAUAGUGCUAUUAGCACAGUGGUGUUUGACUGCUGCUGGACAGUGCUUGCACAUCAUCAAGAAUUUCCUUUUUUCCCACUCUGUUCCCCAGUGAAUAGGCUGGGGGUGGGCAAGACACUGGGAGAGGACAUGGAUGAGGCAGCUCACCCAAACUUCCCAAAGGUAUAUUCCAUACCAUCCAACAUUAUACUCACCAAUAACAACUGAAGACGAAGACGAAGAAGACGAAGAAGAAGACAAAGAAGAAGACAAAGAAGAAGAUGAAGACGAAGACGAAGACGAAGAAGAAGAAGAAGAAGAAGAAGAAGAAGAAGAAGAAGAAGAAGAAGAAGAAGAAGAAGAAGAAGAAGAAGAAGAAGAAGAAGAAGAAAACUAGAUAAACCAACUAUGGUCUAUCAACUGUGCUAUACUCUCUGCUAUGACAUAUGCUAGAAAACUAGAUAGACCAACAAUCAAAAGUUCAGGCACUUCUGGAAAAUGCGAAGCUUGACCUUAGCUUCCAUCUUCAUUAAACCAUGACUCUGAGCAGUCUACUUCCAUGUCAACCUUGAUCCCUCUGAAAAAUUAGAACAUAAAUGCUAUCUUCUGCUGUGAAAUUGCUCUGAAGAUCUCAACAGGAAUGUAAAAAGUGCAAAAAACUCAUUUACUACACAUGCCUGAAUAUCCGUAAGCAUUUCUGGAAAUUCCUGCUGUCCCAGCCACAGUGCUACAACAGUUGACCUGUUUUUACCUAACUCAGGCACAUCCUUCUGAACAAAACUGAGGGUGAUGUGAGCCCACCCACCAACUGCACAAGGGGCAUAUUUUUUGUAAUUCAAAUCCACUAGUAUCCAGGACAGCAAUGUUCAAAUGAAAAAGAAAGAAAGAAAGAAAGAAAGAAAGAAAGAAAGAAAGAAAGAAAGAAAGAAAGAAAGAAAGAAAGAAAGAAAGAAAGAAAGAAAGAAAGAAAGAAAGAAAGAAAGAAAAAGAAAGAAAGAAAGAAAGAAAGAAAGAAAGAAAGAAAGAAAGAAAGAAAGAAAGAAAGAAAGAAAGAAAGAAAGAAAGAAAGAAAGAAGCAAACAACAACAAAAAAAAAACCUCUCCAUUUCCUUCAGACGCAUCUGUUCCUUCUGCUUGCUUAUAUAGAAAGGUCAUAUUGAUGAUGCUGUCAGAUGAGCAUGCCCCUCUCUGUAAGCCAGCAGAAAAGCAGAAGGAACAGAUGCAUUAGGAGGAAACAAAGCUCUCCUCUCUUUUUCUUCUCCACAUGAGCAUUAGCAUUUUGAGCGCUAACAGAUUUUGGUGGAGAAAAUGGAAGUAUGAUCAAGUAAUGCUAUUUGUCUCAGACAGCCCAAGCUGCCAAGUCCAUACAUAGCAGUACGCUCAUUACCAUUUACAUUGCCCAUUCUGCUGUCUGCAAAAGCUGAAGAUCUUUUUUUUGCAAUUUCACAAGCAUGAACUAAAGAAAGUGGUUUGUAAAAGACUGUGGGGAGGAUGGUGUGGGGUUGACACACUUGCAUAGUGCGUGUGGUAGAUGGACACACUAACUUUGUCUCCAUGAACAAUGAAACUGUUCACCUGAUGUAUUCUGCAAGGAAUUCAGGAUUAAAGCUGUAAUCUGUCUUCAA
Molecule: non-coding RNA, 8606 nt
Organism: Anas platyrhynchos (mallard)
Lineage: Eukaryota; Metazoa; Chordata; Aves; Anseriformes; Anatidae
Source: RefSeq, a predicted model, not a curated record